RNAcentral lists this ribosomal RNA (252 nucleotides) under uncultured bacterium. RNAcentral's name for it is "partial 16S ribosomal RNA". It matches the Rfam family "Bacterial small subunit ribosomal RNA", at positions 526 to 779 of the family's 1533-position model. The record is from RNAcentral.
CGUAGGUGGCAAGCGUUGUCCGGAUUUAUUGGGCGUAAAGCGCGCGCAGGCGGCUAUGUAAGUCUGGUGUUAAAGCCCGGAGCUCAACUCCGGUUCGCAUCGGAAACUGUGUAGCUUGAGUGAAGAAGAGGAAAGCGGUAUUCCACGUGUAGCGGUGAAAUGCGUAGAGAUGUGGAGGAACACCAGUGGCGAAGGCGGCUUUCUGGUCUGUAACUGACGCUGAGGCGCGAAAGCGUGGGAGCAAACAGGAUU